UACGGAGGGGGCUAGCGUUGUUCGGAAUUACUGGGCGUAAAGCGCACGUAGGCGGAUCAGAAAGUCAGAGGUGAAAUCCCGGGGCUCAACCCCGGAACGGCCUUUGAAACUCCUGAUCUUGAGGUCGAGAGAGGUGAGUGGAAUUCCGAGUGUAGAGGUGAAAUUCGUAGAUAUUCGGAGGAACACCAGUGGCGAAGGCGGCUCACUGGCUCGAUACUGACGCUGAGGUGCGAAAGCGUGGGGAGCAAACAGG
This 253-nucleotide ribosomal RNA is filed under the name uncultured bacterium. RNAcentral describes it as "partial 16S ribosomal RNA". It matches the Rfam family "Bacterial small subunit ribosomal RNA", at positions 524 to 776 of the family's 1533-position model. The record is from RNAcentral.